AACCAACAGGGAUUGCCUCAGUAGCGGCGAGUGAAGCGGCAAGAGCUCAGAUUUGAAAUCGUGCUUUGCGGCACGAGUUGUAGAUUGCAGGUUGGAGUCUGUGUGGAAGGCGGUGUCCAAGUCCCUUGGAACAGGGCGCCCAGGAGGGUGAGAGCCCCGUGGGAUGCCGGCGGAAGCAGUGAGGCCCUUCUGACGAGUCGAGUUGUUUGGGAAUGCAGCUCCAAGCGGGUGGUAAAUUCCAUCUAAGGCUAAAUACUGGCGAGAGACCGAUAGCGAACAAGUACUGUGAAGGAAAGAUGAAAAGCACUUUGAAAAGAGAGUGAAACAGCACGUGAAAUUGUUGAAAGGGAAGGGUAUUGCGCCCGACAUGGGGAUUGCGCACCGCUGCCUCUCGUGGGCGGCGCUCUGGGCUUUCCCUGGGCCAGCAUCGGUUCUUGCUGCAGGAGAAGGGGUUCUGGAACGUGGCUCUUCGGAGUGUUAUAGCCAGGGCCAGAUGCUGCGUGCGGGGACCGAGGACUGCGGCCGUGUAGGUCACGGAUGCUGGCAGAACGGCGCAACACCGCCCGUCUUGAAACACGGACCUCCUGUGUGAAGGGGAUUCCGCUA
This 606-nucleotide ribosomal RNA is filed under the name Pichia kudriavzevii. Its description in RNAcentral is "eukaryotic LSU rRNA". It matches the Rfam family "Eukaryotic large subunit ribosomal RNA", at positions 63 to 664 of the family's 3401-position model. The record is from RNAcentral. Lineage: Eukaryota; Fungi; Ascomycota; Pichiomycetes; Pichiales; Pichiaceae.